This 562-nucleotide ribosomal RNA is filed under the name uncultured Actinomycetes bacterium. RNAcentral describes it as "bacterial SSU rRNA". It matches the Rfam family "Bacterial small subunit ribosomal RNA", at positions 1 to 600 of the family's 1533-position model. Lineage: Bacteria; Bacillati; Actinomycetota; Actinomycetes. The record is from RNAcentral.
CGCGGGAAUUCGAUUAGAGUUUAUCCUGGCUCAGGACGAACGCGGCGGCGUGCAUAACACAUGCAAGUCAAGGGGACCCGCAAGGGUAACCGGCGAACGGGUGCGUAACACGUGAGCAACCUACCUCCGUGUGGGGCAUAGCCGGCCUAACGGCCGGGUAAUUCCGCAUACGACCUUCUGGGGGCAUCCCUGGGAGAGGAAACGAGUAAUCGGCACGGAGAGGGGCUCGCGGCCUAUCAGCUAGUUGGUGUGGGUAACGGCCCACCAAGGCGACGACGGGUAGCCGGCCUGAGAGGGCGACCGGCCACACUGGGGCUGAGACACGGCCCAGACUCCUACGGGAGGCAGCAGUAGGGAAUCUUGCGCAAUGGGCGAAAGCCUGACGCAGCGACGCCGCGUGCGGGAUGAAGGCCUUCGGGUCGUAAACCGCUUUCAGCAGGGACGAAAUUGACGGUACCUGCAGAAGAAGCACCGGCUAACUACGUGCCAGCAGCCGCGGUAAUACGAAUCACUAGUGAAUUCGCGGCCGCCUGCAGGUCGACCAUAUGGGAGAGCCCCCAAC